This 480-nucleotide ribosomal RNA is filed under the name uncultured bacterium. RNAcentral describes it as "partial 16S ribosomal RNA". It matches the Rfam family "Bacterial small subunit ribosomal RNA", at positions 28 to 507 of the family's 1533-position model. The record is from RNAcentral.
GAUGAACGCUAGCGGCAGGCCUAACACAUGCAAGUCGAGGGGGAAGUUACUUUCGGGUGACUGAGACCGGCGUACGGGUGCGUAACGCGUAUACAAUCUGCCUUUCACUGGGGGAUAGCCCGAAGAAAUUUGGAUUAAUACCCCAUAGUAUAUAGGGACGGCAUCGUUUUUAUAUUAAAGCUUAGGUGGUGAAAGAUGAGUAUGCGUUCUAUUAGCUAGUUGGAGAGGUAACGGCUCCCCAAGGCGAUGAUAGAUAGGGGUUCUGAGAGGGAUGUCCCCCACACUGGUACUGAGAUACGGACCAGACUCCUACGGGAGGCAGCAGUGAGGAAUAUUGGACAAUGGUCGGAAGACUGAUCCAGCCAUGCCGCGUGCAGGAUGAAGGUCUUAUGGAUUGCAAACUGCUUUUGUAAGGGAAGAAUAAGGGCUACGCGUAGUUUGAUGACGGUACCUUACGAAUAAGCAUCGACUAACUCCGUG